Long non-coding RNA from Cydia pomonella (codling moth), 2092 nucleotides. RefSeq lists it as uncharacterized. NCBI's taxonomy places the organism in Eukaryota, Metazoa, Arthropoda, Insecta, Lepidoptera, Tortricidae. The record is from RefSeq and is a predicted model, not a curated record. The transcript has 3 exons.
CUGUGACGUCACACAAUUUUCAAAGAGCGUUUUGGGCGCCAAAGCAUCUGUCAAAAUAUAUUUUGUUAAUUUAACAUAUUUAAAGCCGUUUUUAGUAUAAAAGUUGAAUUUUAGGGCAACUUUUAGUUAAUAUAGAACGUAAUACAAGCGUUUCAAAAAAUUGGAAACAACCCUAUUGCAGGCAUUUUUCUGUGUCACUCUAAUUACGUCUCAGUACGAGUAAAAGAGAAAGAUCCCCGCAAUUUGCCAAUUUCGGUUAUCGCGGUAGGCUUUCAGGUUUGUUUACAGAGGGCCUUACAUGAAUCUCGGAAAUUAAAAUUUUGUUAUCUGCCUCUUUAUCACUAGAUUAUGCAAGAGUGAUAGAGAUGAAGAACAGGAGAUGCGUAAAGUGUCGCGCACCAAAAAUAUAAAAGUUAACUUCCGUCCAUUAUCCAAAAUAGAGGAGCACUGUACAAGACACCAGGCUGAUAAAUUAUUUAACAAAUUACCCGAAGAGCUUAAAACAAUUUCAAAAUGUAAUAUCUACAAACACAAAUUGAAACAGUUUUUGUUGAGAGGAUGUUUUUAUCGGUAGAUGAAGUGUUCAAUUUUGUUUAAGUCUUGAGUAUUGUUUCUCUUGUUAUUUUUUAGUAUUUAAAUGUUGCCGUAUUUUUAGACUGAUAUUUAUUUGUUUUUUUUUUUUUCAUUUAUAUGAUAAGUUUGUUGUUGUUUUUGUUAUGUUUUUCACUUCAUGUAUAUUCAAACACAAUUCUGUAUUGUUCAUGAAUAAAGAUACUAUGACUACAAUGACUAUGACUAUUGACGAACUUCGAUUUUCGCGGUUAUAGCCCAGGCCUCAGACCGGACGGACCAGACCAAUGUCGGGGUCCGGCACGCCCAUCUGUUACAGCUUUUACUUUUGUUAUCGUAGAUAUCGAUUAUCCGUCAAUCGGAUGUUUUCGAAUGCUCCAAGCAUUCUUUGAUUAUUUUGUUCUGUAGGAACCAAGAAAACAUUAGACCUUUCGAUUAAGUAAUCAAAUUGAAUUGUCAUCCCGUUGUUACGUUAUUUAUAUCUAUGAUUUAUAUCGAAUAGCAUAACCAGUUUUUUUUAUUUCUAUAAAACAUAUCGGAACUUUUGCCAUAGAAACACAGAAAUUACCGAUUAAUCGAAUAAACGGUAUAAGUACAUCACUAUCAAAAUUGCUCACGUCCGUUGUCCAUCUCUUUCCUUAUGCGUUAGAGGGAGCAAACGAUAUUGCUAUCUCAUUCCACCGGAAAGCUGUUGCGUCCCUGACGCUUCAAAAUAAAUCAAAUCACUCCCUGUGCAUUCCGUUGUCGUCCAUUACGUACGUACUACGUUUUGUCUUCUUGGCUUUUGUAUGCAUGGUAUUGUGGACCAACGACCCGAGGCCGCAUCAGAAAUAGUUCGCUGCGCCAUUUCCUAGUUCAUUCUGUACGGCUUUGGAUACAUAACUGGACCGCGGAAAUACUACUUGGUCAUCAGAAUGCACAGUGAAACCAAUAUAUGCUAUAAGGAUGUUUGUAACAUUAAGUGUUCUAGAGGGACUACUGGACUUCAACUACUUGCUUACACAUUCCGAUGACAGGAGCCAUCUCUGCAAGCUUCUGGAAAUGUGAAUUUCAAGAGUUGUUUGACUUCAGUGCAGAUCAAGCCAUGCCCAAUCAUAUGAUGUAUUUUAAACUAAAUCAAAAUAAGGCUGCAUUACAUCAACUUGCUUAUAGCAAACGUCAGUUGAGGCGAACAGUGGACUACAAGCUGGGACUGGACUGGAGCGAGGCCAUAAGGGUUGCUGAAGAUAGGAAGGCUUGGCAUGAGCUUGUGAAGGCCCUCUGCACAUCUGGGGUACCUCAGAACAACAACAACAAUAUCAACUUGUUCCUGUACCUGUAAAAAAGCCAUGACCUGAAAGAUGAGCAAGCAGAAAAAUCAUCCUUCUGUUAUUCUAUGGAACAUGAGAUGGACACUAAGACCAUUAACAAAACCAGUGAAAGAUUGUUACUCUAACCCUACACAAACAAAGAAAAAACCAUAAGAAGAUUUAUCUGUUUUGGCUUGACAACAAAAUUCCCGUCACGGAAAACAGGGGAAUAG